Molecule: non-coding RNA, 114 nt
Organism: Acanthosepion pharaonis
Lineage: Eukaryota; Metazoa; Mollusca; Cephalopoda; Sepiida; Sepiidae
Source: the annotation of a GenBank genome assembly
UUACGGCCAUAUCACGUUGAAAUCACAGUUCUCGUAUGAUUCCCGAAGUUAAGCAACGUUGAGUCUGGUCAUUAUCUAGAUAGGUGACCACUUGGAAAUACCCGAUGCUGUAAG